AGAACAAGUACCUGAAGACAGGCCCAGAACAGUCUUGACAGUGUCCUUAGCUCUGAUGAGCUUGUAGAUAGUCUUCGGUUUCCAUAAGUCAGGUUUAACUCCAUGUAGUCCAUGCUCCCUGAUGAACGUGAAAGUGUCCAAGUA
Nanorana parkeri is the source of this 144-nucleotide long non-coding RNA. RefSeq lists it as uncharacterized. The record is from RefSeq and is a predicted model, not a curated record. The transcript is spliced from 3 exons. Lineage: Eukaryota; Metazoa; Chordata; Amphibia; Anura; Dicroglossidae.